Colius striatus (speckled mousebird) is the source of this 2607-nucleotide RNA transcript. It is a transcript of the gene named pumilio RNA binding family member 3, with no coding region annotated. NCBI's taxonomy places the organism in Eukaryota, Metazoa, Chordata, Aves, Coliiformes, Coliidae. The record is from RefSeq and is a predicted model, not a curated record. The transcript is spliced from 22 exons.
UGAGGUUGCUGGGUGGGUGUCCCGGGAGCCCGCUCAACUCCCACCCAGCAGUCUGUCGGCGAAGCCUUCUCAGUGCGUCUCCGUCCGCCGCCGGUGCAGUGUGAAGCUGCUCCUCGGAGCUGCCAGCGGUGCUGCAGCUCACCAGCCCCAGCCAAAAAGCCCUGCGGCUGGAGGUGCGGCUGGGAGAGGACGCGGACGUGACUGUGACAGACGGCUGUUGGUGAGAAGCAACAACCUUUCUGACAAGAUCACAGUUCUGUCUGGAAAAAUUGAGAUCUCUCUGCCUGAAAGUGUUGAUGUGAUAAUUUCUGAACCAAUGGGUUAUAUGCUGUUCAGUGAAAGGAUGUUGGAAAGUUACCUCCACUCCAAAAAUGGUUAAAAUGAAACACCUGCUGAUACAUACACUAUGAUUGCAUCACUGUUGCAACAUGCCAUAAUGGAUGAUGGCACAGUAGCCUCAAAUGCCAGACAGCGGAGUGUAGAUGAGAGCAGAAUGGUCAAAUAUGAUGAAGAUUCUGAAGGUCCAGUUUCACAGGAGGGCUUCUGAAAACUGUGUUGCCGCCAUGGAAACGAAGGGUAAAAAGAAGUUCUUGGGGAGGAGUGGGAAAGCACGUCGUGGGAAAGUACAGCAUGGGAAAAGGAAAUUUAAAAAAGAUAAUGAUUUGAGUCCACCAAAGAAACUGCUUAACAAAAGAGAUGAGGAGGGAAAGCCUAAAUCCCUUACCAAGAAAUUUGCAAAAGGACAGUUAACACCUGGAAGGGCUACUGUCAAACAAUUCAAGAAUAAACAGCAUUCAGAAAAGUUUGCGGAGAAGAGGAAGCUCCAGGGUGGUGAAGAGGGAGGGCCAGAUUCAAAGAAGCCAAAGUGGAAUGACUUCAAAAAGAAAAAAAAGGAGUUAAAGCAAACCAGACAACUUAAUGAUAAAAGUAAUUAUGACAUAAUUUUAAAAUCAAAGCAAAUAUGGGAAAGUGUGAGAAGGAAGAAAUGUGAUAAGGAGAAGCGGGAAAAACUAAUGAGUGAACUGGAGAAGCUUCUUCAUGGGAAAAUUAAAAGUCUGGCGUUUGCACAUGAUUCAACUCGAGUGAUCCAGUGCUUUAUUCAGUAUGGUAAUGAGAAGCAAAGACAAGAGACAUUUGAAGAGUUGAAAGAUAACCUAUUAGAGUUAAGCAAGUCAAAAUAUUCCAGAAAUAUAGUGAAGAAGUUUCUUUCGUAUGGGACAAAACAACAAGUUGCGGAAAUAAUAAAAAGUUUUAAAGGGCAUGUGAGAAAAAUGCUGCGUCACGCCGAAGCAUCAGCUGUGGUGGAAUAUGCAUAUAAUGACAAAGCCAUUCUGGAGCAGAGGAAUAUGCUGACAGAAGAACUAUAUGGGAACACUUUCCAGGUUUACAAGACUGCAGUUGUCCCAACACUGGAUAAAGUGUUGGAAGCUCAGCCUGAAAAGAGGGAGGCCAUCUUGGAUGAAAUGAAACAGAUUCUUACACCAAUGGCACAAAAGGAGGCUGUGAUAAAGCACUCACUGGUACAUAAAGUGUUUUUGGACUUUUUCACUUAUGCUCUUCCAAAACAAAGAUCUGAAAUGAUAGAAGCUAUCAGAGAGGCUGUCAUAUACCUGGCACACACUCAUGAUGGAGCCCGAGUAGCAAUGCACUGCUUAUGGCAUGGUACUCCCAAGGACAGGAAAGUCAUUGUAAAAACUAUGAAGACAUAUAUUGAAAAAAUAGCAACGGGUGAAUUUUCUCAUCUGGUCUUGCUGGCGGCGUUUGAUUGCAUUGAUGACACAAAACUUAUGAAACAAUUAGUUAUAGCAGAAAUAAAUGCUUCUUUGCCCAAUGUAAUAAACAACAAGUAUGGAAAGAAGGUCUUGUUGUACUUGCUAAGUCCCAGAGACCCUGCACAUUUUGUUCCAGAAAUCAUUACGCUUCUGCAACAGGGAGAUGGAAAUGCCUAUAGUAAGAAGAAUACUGAGCUCCGCCGCCAUGAGCUCCUGGAAGCCAUUUCCUCACCUUUGCUAGAGUAUCUGCAACAACAUACCCAAGAAGUGGUGACAGACAAAGCUGUUUUUGUCUUGGUUGCUGACAUCUUAAGGACUGCUGUUGGUGACAUCCAGCCUGCACUAGAUGCAAUUGCUAAUUUGGCAGCAGAAGAGCUGGUCCCAGGUGGCCGUGAUGGGGAGCUUCACAUUGCAGAGCAUCCAGCAGGCCAUCUAGUUUUGAAAUGGUUAAUAGAGCAAGAUGAAAAGAUGAGAGAGAAUGGAAAAGAAGUUUGCUUUGGAAGAACAUUGGUGGAACGUGUUGGUAUUGAGAAUAUGAAGACCUGGGCAGAAGUAAAUCGAGGUGCUAUUAUCCUUUGUUGCCUUCUCCGCAGUGCUGAUCAAAAAGUGGCAAAUACAGUCAAAAAAGGAUUGAAAAAGCUUGUCCCAAAGUUGAAGGUGAAUAAAAAUGGAAAAGGAAUAGAAGCAUUACUGGAAAAAUUGACAUCCUAGUGUAAAUGAAGCUAAAGAGACAGUUCACAUCAGUGCAACCAACUGAGAGUUGGUCGUGAUGAUCCACAAACUACUCCUGCAGUCCAUCAGAACUGCAGUGCUCAGCACCCAUGAAGAUCAGGUU